CUCACCGCAACCUCUGCCUCCUGGGUUCAAGCAAUUCUUCUGCCUCAGCCACCCGAAUAGUAGCUGAGACUACAGGUGCAUGCCAUCAUGCCUCGCUAAUUUUCGUAUUUUUAGUAGAGACGGAGUUUCACCAUGUUGGCCGGGCUACUCUCAAACAUCUGACCUCAAGUGAUCCACCCACCUCGGCCUCCAAAAGUGAUGGGAUUACAGGUGUGAGCCACUGCACCCGGCCUGGAACUCUUCCAUGAAGGGGAAGAAAAAGAUAAAACCAAACACAGCCCAGAAAUUCUGGCAUACAAAUCAGAAAAGAACUACUUCUUAGCCACCUGUGCCAGAUCCUGCACUUGAUGGAUCAGCUGACACCACCCAGACCAUAAUCUGGCUCAACCAGUUCUGCAACUCCACCCAGGAACAGAAGACAGCAAGAAAAACUCACUUCGACCCCCUAUGAUUCCAUUUCCAACCUGACCAAUCAGUGCUCCCCACUUUCCAAGCCCCUACCCACCAAAUUAUCUUUAAAAACUCUGAUCCCUGAAUGCUUGGGAGACUGAUUUGAGUAAUAAUAAAACUCUGGUUUCCCAUACAGCCGGUUAUGCAUGAAUUACUCUUUCUCUAUUGCAAUUCCCCUGUCUCGGUAAAUUGGCUCUGUCUAGGCAGCGGGCAAGGUGAACCUGAUGGGCAGUUACCUAGCAAACAGCUAAAGUGGAAACCUCAGAAAAAG
Molecule: long non-coding RNA, 721 nt
Filed under: Homo sapiens (human)
Lineage: Eukaryota; Metazoa; Chordata; Mammalia; Primates; Hominidae
Description: HSALNT0301827
Source: RNAcentral